RNAcentral lists this transfer RNA (77 nucleotides) under Vibrio cholerae. RNAcentral describes it as "tRNA-Arg". It matches the Rfam family "tRNA". From Rfam's summary of the family: Transfer RNA (tRNA) molecules are approximately 80 nucleotides in length. Their secondary structure includes four short double-helical elements and three loops (D, anti-codon, and T loops). Further hydrogen bonds mediate the characteristic L-shaped molecular structure. tRNAs have two regions of fundamental functional importance: the anti-codon, which is responsible for specific mRNA codon recognition, and the 3' end, to which the tRNAs corresponding amino acid is attached (by aminoacyl-tRNA synthetases). tRNAs cope with the degeneracy of the genetic code in two manners: having more than one tRNA (with a specific anti-codon) for a particular amino acid; and 'wobble' base-pairing, i.e. permitting non-standard base-pairing at the 3rd anti-codon position. The record is from RNAcentral. Lineage: Bacteria; Pseudomonadati; Pseudomonadota; Gammaproteobacteria; Vibrionales; Vibrionaceae.
GCGCUCGAAGCUCAGCUGGAAAGAGUACCUGGAUACGAACCAGGCGGUCAAAGGUUCGAAUCCUCUCGAGCGCGCCA